GACGAACGCUGGCGGCGUGCCUAAUACAUGCAAGUAGAACGCUGAAGGAGGAGCUUGCUUCUCUGGAUGAGUUGCGAACGGGUGAGUAACGCGUAGGUAACCUGCCUGGUAGCGGGGGAUAACUAUUGGAAACGAUAGCUAAUACCGCAUAAGAGUAGAUGUUGCAUGACAUUUACUUAAAAGGUGCAAUUGCAUCACUACCAGAUGGACCUGCGUUGUAUUAGCUAGUUGGUGAGGUAACGGCUCACCAAGGCAACGAUACAUAGCCGACCUGAGAGGGUGAUCGGCCACACUGGGACUGAGACACGGCCCAGACUCCUACGGGAGGCAGCAGUAGGGAAUCUUCGGCAAUGGACGGAAGUCUGACCGAGCAACGCCGCGUGAGUGAAGAAGGGUUUCGGAUCGUAAAGCUCUGUUGUAAGAGAAGAACGAGUGUGAGAGUGGAAAGUCCACACUGUGACGGUAGCUUACCAGAAAGGGACGGCUAACUACGUG
This 495-nucleotide ribosomal RNA is filed under the name uncultured bacterium. RNAcentral's name for it is "partial 16S ribosomal RNA". It matches the Rfam family "Bacterial small subunit ribosomal RNA", at positions 28 to 507 of the family's 1533-position model. The record is from RNAcentral.